AAUAGCCUGUGAUUGAGAAAUGUUUUAUGCUGGGUGUGAUAAUAAAAGAUCACAUGAAAUAACUGAUAUGCUUAUAAAACGUACGAGGUAGAACUGUUUUCAGCUCCUUUAAAACGUUUUUUUUGUUGUUGUUGUUGUUGUUGUUGUUUUAUGGGUAUGUUGUUUCUCUACGUGCAUGCAUCACAGUAAAGACCCGGGUCUUGUGGAAAUUGGAAGAUCACCUAAGAUUCCAUGGGAUUGACGUUACAGACGGUUCUGAGGUACCUCAUGGGCACUGAGAACCGAAGCCAGGUCCUCUGGAAGAGCAGCCAGAACUCUUAACCGCUGAGCCACCGCUCCAGCCGACACACUAUCACCCAGCUCCUUUUAGAUUAGAAAUAAAGGUCAAGGACCUAAACUGGCCAAAAGACUUCUUUUAGAGGGUCUGUCUGAGGAGAUGGCUCAGUGUGUAACAGCACUUGCUGUGGAAGCAAGGAGACCUGAGUCGAAGUCCAAAACAAUCACACAAGAGAAAAGCUAACGUCUACUUACAACUGACAAGGGAGGGGACCAACUUCUCCCUUCUCUGAGGUAAAGAGGGAGAAGAGGAGGAGGCUUUGGCUCCUGAUGGGUCACCAAUGCUGCACGGGCCCAAGAGCUCUCUGGAUUCAAGAAUGAAAGACACAUGUGCUAAUUUUGAUAUGACUCAACUAGCUCAAUGGUUGGGCACUUCUAAAACUCCCGAGGCUACCAAACUCUCCCCUCCAGUAUUCCUGAGUUAACAUUUUAAAAAAUGUAUUCUUCAUCUCUGCUACUCCAGACCCAAUAGGGGAAGUGGGCCCUGGAUUGACUUUCCCAGGUUCUUACAUUCCAGUGGGCCUUUAAAUUUCAUCUUUCUGGGAGCUGGAGAGAUGGCUCAGCGGUUAAGAGCACUGACUGCUCUUCCAGAGGUCCUGAGUUCAAUUCCCAGCAACCACAUGGUGGCUCACAACCAUCUGUAAUGAGAUCUGAUGCCCUCUUCUGGUGUGUCUGAAGACAGCUACAGUGUACUUAUAUUCAAUAAAUAAAAUAAAAAAAUUUCAUCUUUCUGCUUUGUUGUCAUGGAGAUUCUCCGUCCCUCCUUCACCUCUCUCUGUAUGGCUGUAUCACAAUUCUUUCUUAUCAAUUGAAGCCAGCGUGGGGCAGGGACCCUCAGGUCUGGAAUACUGGUAACUGAAA
Long non-coding RNA from Rattus norvegicus (Norway rat), 1197 nucleotides. RefSeq lists it as uncharacterized. Lineage: Eukaryota; Metazoa; Chordata; Mammalia; Rodentia; Muridae. The record is from RefSeq and is a predicted model, not a curated record.